GGAGAGGUGUCAGAGUGGUCGAAUGAACCGGUUUCGAAAACCGGCGUCCCGCAAGGGACCGUGGGUUCGAAUCCCACCCUCUCCGCCA
RNAcentral lists this transfer RNA (88 nucleotides) under bacterium. RNAcentral's name for it is "tRNA-Ser". It matches the Rfam family "tRNA". From Rfam's summary of the family: Transfer RNA (tRNA) molecules are approximately 80 nucleotides in length. Their secondary structure includes four short double-helical elements and three loops (D, anti-codon, and T loops). The record is from RNAcentral.